UAUGUGCAGCUGGCAAAUGUAUUUGCAGCUGAGGAAAAUUGGGCAGAGAUGCGCAAGAUAAGAGAGAAAAUGAGAGGGAAGGAAACCAAGAAGCUUGCUGGCUGCAGUUGGGUGUAUCUUGAGAAUGGAAUUCAUGCAUUUACCUCUGGUGACACAUCGCAUUCAAAAGCAGAGGCUAUCUAUUCGAUCUUGGAGUUCCUAUCUGCAGAUUUACGUGUGCUACCCAAUUCAAGUGUUGGAAAGAUUACAACUUUAACAUUGACAUGAGGGGACAGAUGAAUUCAAAUGCUUGGUACAGGAAGGUCUGUGGCUGCUUUCAAGAGCAUAUAUAUUUAAAAGAGGAUGAGGUACGGAAACUUGGACUAGAUUCAAUUUGAAUUAGACUUUGCCCCUCUCUGUGUCAUGACGUGAUUGAUAUUUCUCUUUACUAGAUAAUAGGUGUUCAUUAUUCUGAUUAAUACACAGCAACGAAUUCAACUGUAGAAUGGUGGGGGCUGUUGCCCUCAUCUAAAUACUAUUAAAACUAGCUGGUAGCCCACACAUUGUACAGGUUUCUGUGGCUCUGCUAUGCAUUUAAGUUCAUUAGGAUGAGCAUGUAAUAAGGUGGCAUAUAUACAUUCAAUAUAUUAUUUCUGAAGAAGAGAUGAGCGAAUGGACAUUAACUUUUUAAUCCUUGUAUGUUAUAAGAAAGCAAAACAAAUAAUGUCAUUGGAAAAGUUUUUCAUGAUAUUAUAAGAGUAAGUACAUUCAAAAGAAAAUAGAUGAUGAAAUUUUACUUUGCUGCAUUGACAUGAAUAUCUGUUGGGAAAGAAAUGCAUGAACUGCUUUUCAAUUUACAAUCAUACAUCGUUUAUGAAAGAUAAUAGUACAAACAUAUUAGAACAGGAUGACGAUAGGCCUGCAGUUUUGCUUAUCAGCCGCAAACAUUCUUGCAGACAAUACUCAAACUCAACACUAAAUCAAUCGUGUUUCAAGGGUCGAUGGUAAAAGAUAUAUAUUUUGAAGAAGGAAUUGCACUCAUUGGUGUACCACACACUGGACGGUGGAGAUAAAAAACGACUGUGAUGGAUAAGAAGUACUGCCAGAUGAAGCAGUGGUAAAGCUUGUUCAUGUCAAAGCCUUCAGGCUAACAGAGGUUUUGCUCAAUUAGUGGAAUUUAUUUCAAAUAGGAUGAGCUGAAGAUAACUACUAGAGGAUGAAGACAUGUAUAUAGUUCCACAAUCUGGUUUGGAUAAAAGCCAUUUUAAUCUUAUUCAUAUGUUUUCUGACUAUUCAUAUUCUCUUCAUCAAUUACGCUUGUCAUGUCUGAUGCAUGAACACCCACAUUCAACUUUUGCAAACACUCUGUCUUUCCUUAUUUUGUUUCUCUCAACUCUCCAUGUUUGUCAUUGAUCUGCCAUAUGUCAUGCCUCUCUAUCUCUCUCACAAAUAGUAUUAGUCUUUCUAAAAAUCUGAUGUGCCAUGUUAGAGGAUGAAGACGUUGUAUAUAGUUCCACGACCUGGUUUGGAUAAAAGCCAUUUUAAUCUUAUUCAUAUGUUUUCUGACUAUUCGUAUUCUCUUCAUCAAUUACGCCUGUCAUGUCUGAUGCAUGUACACCCACAUUCAACUUUUGCAAACCUCUAGCUUUCCUUAUUUUGUUACUCUUGAACUCUCCAUGUGAGUCAAUGAUCUGCCAUAUGUCAUGCCUCUCUAUCUCUCUCACAAAUAGUAUUAGUCUCUCUAAAAAUCUGAUGUGGCAUCAAUGGAGAGUUUCUGAAAAAGCUGAUGUUGAACUACAACAAGAUUAGUUUGCUCAAGAGCUGCAUAUGUAUAGUUCAAUUUGUUGAAAGAUUUUGAUCAUUGCCACCAUUAAAUCACCCUAGCCUACUUAAUGAAGUGGGUUCAUUAUCUUCUAUUUUCCUGAUAAAUCAACCUAGUAUAAUGAAAACAUAAUUGCAGCAGGUUACAACGCAGUAAACUAAUCCUUCUAAAUUAUUAGUUUUUAAUGUUUUUUUUUUGUCUUUAGGCAUAAAUCAGUAUGCCAUUUAUUGAAAUAGAUAAAUUUAGACAAUUUAUGAUCAGUAAUUGGAUUUGCCACUUUUGGGGAAAAAAAAAGGGUUUACCUUCACUCUGUACACUGCAUCAUAUUAUUGACAUAGAAAAACUUCUCAGAUGUCAUAAAAGAGGAGAGAAAAAAUAUUUGUUUGCAGAAAUGUGCUGGGAAACUUGUUUGUUGCUACUUAUAUGGACACUUCUUAUGUUUGGUUAUUCUCUGACUGCCAGGUUGGAGCGCCUUCUUCAGAACUAUCUGACAGGUUAACUUGUCGAAAUCUACUCGUCAUAUUUCCGGUGAACCCUGAUAUCAUAAAGCAAGGCAGGAGUCUCAAUUGAAUGCUCAAUCUGCUGAAAAUGGAAGAACCAGGAAAGAAGAUCCAUUUUGUGUUAGAAGACUGAUAGCCUGCAUCUGGGACUUUCCUGGACUGUCCACAGUUUGCCAAGCAAGCCACCAUAAUCUCCAAGGACUUCCUGCAUACAUGAUGGCAAAGAUAUUCAAGAAGUCACUGUCUAGGACGAGCUUGUAUUGAAUAAAGGNNNNNNNNNNNNNNNNNNNNNNNNNNNNNNNNNNNNNNNNNNNNNNNNNNNNNNNNNNNNNNNNNNNNNNNNNNNNNNNNNNNNNNNNNNNNNNNNNNNNAGCUUGCUGGCUGCAGUUGGGUGUAUCUUGAGAAUGGAAUUCAUGCAUUUACCUCUGGUGACACAUCGCAUUCAAAAGCAGAGGCUAUCUAUUCGAUCUUGGAGUUCCUAUCUGCAGAUUUACGUGUGCUACCCAAUUC
Molecule: long non-coding RNA, 2811 nt
Filed under: Eucalyptus grandis
Lineage: Eukaryota; Viridiplantae; Streptophyta; Magnoliopsida; Myrtales; Myrtaceae
Description: long non-coding RNA (EGRA_LNC004007)
Source: RNAcentral